This 1121-nucleotide long non-coding RNA is filed under the name Fragaria vesca (wild strawberry). Its description in RNAcentral is "long non-coding RNA (FVES_LNC000484)". Lineage: Eukaryota; Viridiplantae; Streptophyta; Magnoliopsida; Rosales; Rosaceae. The record is from RNAcentral.
UUUCAAGGUUCUUGUCAUGUUAUGAAGUUUACUCUUGUCAGAAAUGUGCAUACAUCAGCUUCACCAGGAGAGUAGGGCACGUUUACUUUGUAUUGCGUGUGUAUUCUCUUGGUUACGUGACCAAAGUUCCUGCACUAUUGUUCAUAUCUUUAACCAAUAGCGAUGUUGCCGGAUUGCUUGCAGUUAUGUAAAUGAUAGAGAUGAAUGUAUAUGAUUAGCAAUGUGCCGGAUUGCUUGCAGUUAUGUAAAUGAUAGAGAUACGGCACCAAAUAGCUAUCAAAUAAAUACUACAUUCUACAGCAACUACAGGUUAGCUGCAGAUAUUGGCAAUCUAGGAUUUGAUGAAAAGUCAAAUUGUACAUACCUUGAAGUACUUAUGCAGCAUCCUAUUACUUCAUCUCAACUGAUCUAUACAACAUCUUCCGCAGACCGUAUGUAUAGAACAAAAUUGUAUACAACAACAUAUUCAUAAUGUACUGCAGCUACUGUGUUUCAGAGAACAGAAUCGUGUACAACGGCAUUUUACAUGACCCGUUCGCUCUCCAUGCUCAAACAGGAUACAACAUGAGCAUAAAAAGAGGUAAGGAAGUUAUGUAUAGAAGUGUCUAUAGCUAAGAACAUGCCACUCAACCGGCCAACCCAUUCAUUGAGGAAAGUUAGCUAUGACCAUUUAUUUCUAGUACGGUCUAAUAAUUUGCACUCCUCCCACUUAGCAGUAUGUGGAUCAAGAUCGCGAAGGUUGUCAACAAACUUAUUUCCCUCAUCUUGCCGAUUGUGCUUGCAGUACCGAUCUACAAUGGAGUUGUAUGCAUUUUGGUUAGGUUUGCACCCAUGCUUGAUCAUGUAACGUACCACAUCAAUGUCUUCAACAAACAAUGAAUCGGCUGCAUAACUUGCCAUAAAUGAGUUUGUUGAUCUACCAGUUGUCCAUGAACUGCAAGCAUGAUGUGAAAUUCAAUAUUGCAGCCUCUAGGAAAUACAGUUAUAGUGUAUCAUAUAAGGUUAUAUAAAUUCCUUAGCUUAUAAUGUACAUAUUCUUUGAUUGGAAGAUCCGCUACAAGCAUUAUAGAAAUUUGGUUCUGUUGAAUGGAAGUUAUGUUACUGAAGCAUUUACUUUGUUA